CAGGUUAGGAAGCAGGAGCUGAUGCAGAGGCCAUGGAGGGUGCCGCUUACUGGCUUGCUUCCCUUGGCUUGCUCAGCCUGCUUUCUUAUAGAACCCAAGACUCCCAGCCCAGGGAUGGCACCAUCCACAAUGGGCCCUCCCCACUUGAUCACUAAUUGAGAAAAUGUCCCACAGCUGGAUCUCGUGGAGGCAUUUCCUCAAGGGAGGCUCCUUUCUCUGUGAUAACUCCAGCUUGUGUCAAGUUGACACACAAAACCAGCCAGCACCAUGACUUCUCUUUUCUGUCAAAUUAAGGAGCCGUGCCUUAGAUUCUAAAAUGUAAAUGUAAAACUUCCUUUCUUUAAUGAGAUCCUCAGAGGCUAAUUUUAUUUGUAAAUAAGAAAGACAUGCAGAUUUUUUUCUGAGGUGGGUAUGCGUAUUCUAUUGCACGUAUGUGAGCAUGGUAUGCUGUGUGGGAACUGAGACAGAGCCUGGAAUUUUAACCUUAGCCCUGUCCCCUGAAGACUGGCAAAUGACCAUGAGGGAAAAGGCUUGGCUCAACAGUUUUCUUUCUUUAGUGUACUCGCACAUGUGCACUCAACCCCUGAUACUUUCAGAGUGAGUUGGGACCUUCCUUAAGCUCAUUACAUUUCUUGACUCUCAUGGGUCACCCAAACUAAAGGUAAUUAAGGAAUAAAUGAGAUGGAAAUAGUUAGAAAUAAUUGGGAUAUCUAGAGACUGGUAGGUAUUAUAUUAUAUCCAGCAGAGACUGAACGAGUGUGCCGUUUAAUCUGGAAAUUUAGAAAGGCGGCUUCACGUUAAUAGUGCAGCUUGAAUUAUGGGCUUUCUCAGCAAAGGAGAAACUGGCCUAAUUAUGAUUAAGAGACACUGUUAACUAAGAUCAGAGAUAUUAGAGGAGACCUGAGAACCCUGGCUGGCAUCACAAAGUUAACCGGUGAGUCUUUGAAGUUCCAGAGGUGACAGUUGUGGGUGGAUAGGAUGGGCGGAGCCUGUCACGGGCAUUGACCCAACCGAGACAGGGCCAGAGGAAGGUGCCCCAGACACCUUUCUUUAAGUUCUUAGUUCUAACAUACGGGACAAGUCUCAGGACUCCUUAAGAUCCUUAAGAUGAAUAACUCUGGCCAUGUGGAUGAGCAGCUGGAGUAGGCUUCGGUGCAGGGCCGGCCAACUCUGCUGUGAGCUUCAGAAGUGAGGUUGGAAAAUCCUAGGCAUGGAGGGGAAAGUAAUGGCAGAGAAGGGCGGAGCAUUUUAGGACCCAGGAGAGAAGGGCAGAGCAUUUUAGGACUGGGUGAUGUUUGCUUUGGUUCUGAUAGCCGCUUCCAUUUGAUCUUGGAUAAACCAAAUGUUUACAAUUAACUGUAUCCUCCACGUGGACCGAUAGCUUUCAGCUUCUGAAAGGGAUUUCAUGUACUUUUAUUAUUUUGGCAAUAAAUGACGAUGCCUGGGGUGAGGGGUUACAUUCUGUGUGGUCUUUCCCAAAGUGCUCACUACUCUAUCCUCACAGAAAUGUGCUGUGUGCUUUGGGUGAGCUGAAAACAUAGGUUUAUCGCUAAUCUGAGUAUAGAUAACAGAUACCCAUGAGCUCUUAGCCUU
This 1593-nucleotide long non-coding RNA is filed under the name Mus musculus (house mouse). RNAcentral's name for it is "long non-coding RNA chr8:125152184-125153777". The record is from RNAcentral. Lineage: Eukaryota; Metazoa; Chordata; Mammalia; Rodentia; Muridae.